UGUGGGCCCUGGGGGCUUUCUGACUCUGCAAGGCAUAUCCUAGCAAAGUGAAUAAACUAUUCUCUUGGAAACACUUCGUGUUUAAGGUAUCCAUCACAUCGGAGUGACAAUAGGUUGGGAGCACCUGUGGGUCUGAUGCCAAACUGGCCCUGAGGGCCAACCCCACCUUGUCUCCUUGCAGGCAUUUGGGGUGUGCACUUUGCAAGACAGAAAAACCUCCGUCCCACUUGGGCUUGGCAGGGGAUGUGCAAACGUCCAGCAAAUGCAGGCUUGAAAUGGGAAGCCCUGUGAGGCCAUCANGAUGAUGCAUAAAGCCCAGUCUCCUCCCAGCUGCAAGGUCCACCUGAAGGGGAAGUNGAGAAACUGCGGAAGGCAACAGAGGCAGUGCUGUGCUGAAUAUGCGAUUUACCUAGACUGCUAUUUCCUUGCUUCUGCCUUCAGCUGAGAACAGCAGGUGAACAAAGACUGGUGUGAAGAAAGAGCACAGUUUCAUCCAAGUUUAAUCUACCUUUGGCCAACUUCUGGAAUCAAGAAAGCACACCAGCAAAGCAAUGAGCUAUUUUCCUUCCACGUUACCUAACCCAAAGGUAAAUUUCCUGAAAAGUGGGUAAAAGCCCGUCAGAAAGCAUUUAUAAAAAAUAAAUUAUAACUGCUAGAACA
RNAcentral lists this long non-coding RNA (660 nucleotides) under Salvator merianae (Argentine black and white tegu). Its description in RNAcentral is "lncRNA (ENSSMRG00000012382.1)". Lineage: Eukaryota; Metazoa; Chordata; Lepidosauria; Squamata; Teiidae. The record is from RNAcentral.